This 67-nucleotide transfer RNA is filed under the name Apteropeda ovulum. RNAcentral's name for it is "tRNA-Ser". Lineage: Eukaryota; Metazoa; Arthropoda; Insecta; Coleoptera; Chrysomelidae. The record is from RNAcentral.
AGUUUAUGAACUUGUAUAAGUAUAUAUUUUGAAAAUAUAAGAAAGAAAUUGAAUGUUCUAUAAACUU